Molecule: ribosomal RNA, 520 nt
Filed under: Carinina chocolata
Lineage: Eukaryota; Metazoa; Nemertea; Palaeonemertea; Tubulaniformes; Tubulanidae
Description: Carinina sp. chocolate partial 16S ribosomal RNA
Rfam family: Bacterial large subunit ribosomal RNA
Source: RNAcentral
UGUCUUUAGGUAUUUUGUAAUUAAAGAUAUUUCUGCCCGGUGUAUUAAAAUAUAAACGGCCGCGGUACUCUGACCGUGCGAAGGUAGCGUAAUCAUUUGUUUUUUAAUUGAAGACUAGUAUGAAUGAAUUUAUGAAGGAUUUUCUGUCUCUUUUUAUUUUUUGUAAUUUUCUUUUUAGGUGAAGAAGCCUUUUUUUUAGCACUAGACGAUAAGACCCUAUUGAGUUUGUACUUUUUUUUAGUUAUUUUUUAUUUUAUAUAUUUUUAUAAUUAUUCUAUAAAGUUUGGUUGGGGCGACCCUGGAGAAUAAAAUAACCUCUUUUUUUUUAUAGGUCCACUUUUUGUGAGAAAAUAAUAAAUUACCAUAGGGAUAACAGCGUUAUUUUUUCUGAGAGUUCUUAUUGAUGAGAAAGUUUGCGACCUCGAUGUUGGACUAAGAUAUCCUAGUGCUGUAGUUGGUAAUAAUGGUAGGUCUGUUCGACCUUUAAAAUCUUACAUGAUCUGAGUUCAGACCGGCGUGA